Molecule: transfer RNA, 71 nt
Filed under: Immundisolibacter cernigliae
Lineage: Bacteria; Pseudomonadati; Pseudomonadota; Gammaproteobacteria; Immundisolibacterales; Immundisolibacteraceae
Rfam family: tRNA
About the family: Transfer RNA (tRNA) molecules are approximately 80 nucleotides in length.
Source: Rfam by way of RNAcentral
GCCCCUAUAGCUGGAAGGUCUAGCAGACGCCUUGUAAGCGUCAGACCCGAGUUCGAUUCUCGGUGGGGGCA